UGUCUUGAUUUUGCCAUACAGC
RNAcentral lists this non-coding RNA (22 nucleotides) under Arabidopsis thaliana (thale cress). The record is from RNAcentral. Lineage: Eukaryota; Viridiplantae; Streptophyta; Magnoliopsida; Brassicales; Brassicaceae.